AGAGUUUGAGCCUGGCUCAGACGAACGCUGGCGGCGUGCUUAACACAUGCAAGUCGAACGAGGUUAUAUUCCGGAAGGCUUCGGCUGGAAGGGAGAUAACCGAGUGGCGGACGGGUGAGAAAGGCGUGAGGAACCUGUCUUCUACAGGGGGAUAACGGUCCGAAAGGAUUGCUAAUACCGCAUAAGACCACACCGGCGCAUGCCGGAGGGGUCAAAGGAGAAAUCCGGUAGAAGGUGGACUCGCGUCCCAUUAGAUAGUUGGUGAGGUAACGGCCCACCAAGUCGACGAUGGGUAGCCGACCUGAGAGGGUGAUCGGCCACAUUGGAACUGAGAUACGGUCCAGACUCCUACGGGAGGCAGCAGUGGGGAAUAUUGGGCAAUGGGCGAAAGCCUGACCCCUCCUUUGCCGCGUGAGGGAAGAAGGUCUUCGGGAUGAAAGGCUGUGUCCUUGGUGAAAAGGAAGGAUGGUAGCCAAGGAGGAAGCUCCGGCUAACUACGUGCCAGCAGCCGCGGUAAUACGUAGGGAGCGAGCGUUGUCCGGAAUGAUUGGGCGUAAAGGGCGUGUAGGCAGCCUGUUAAGUCUGAAGUGAAAUCCCUGGUUUCAAGUCAGGGUCUGCUUUGGAAACUGGCGGGCUUGAGUGCAGGAGAGGCUAUCGGAAUUCCCGGUGUAGCGGUGAAAUGCGUAGAGAUCGGGAGGAACACCAGUGGCGAAGGCGGGUAGCUGGACUGUAACUGACGCUGAGGCGCGAAAGUGUGGGGAGCAAACAGGAUUAGAUACCCUGGUAGUCCACACUGUAAACGAUGAAUGCUAGGUGUAGGGGGUAUCGACCCCUUCUGUGCCGCAGUAAACACAAUAAGCAUUCCGCCUGGGGAGUACGGCCGCAAGGUUGAAACUCAAAGGAAUUGACGGGGGCCCGCACAAGCAGCGGAGCAUGUGGUUUAAUUCGACGCAACGCGAAGAACCUUACCAGGUCUUGACAUCCAAUAAAAGCUGCAGAGAUGCAGUGUGAGCUUGCUCGUAUUGAGACAGGUGGUGCAUGGUUGUCGUCAGCUCGUGUCGUGAGAUGUUGGGUUAAGUCCCGCAACGAGCGCAACCCUUGUUUACAGUUACUAACGUGUCAUGGCGAGGACUCUGUAGAGACUGCCGGGGACAACUCGGAGGAAGGUGGGGACGACGUCAAAUCAUCAUGCCCCUUAUGACCUGGGCUACACACGUGCUACAAUGGCCGUCACAAAGAGGAGCGAGUCCGUAAGGAUAAGCAGAUCUCAAAAAAGCGGUCUCAGUUCGGAUUGUGGGCUGCAACCCGCCCACAUGAAGUCGGAGUUGCUAGUAAUCGCGGAUCAGCAUGCCGCGGUGAAUACGUUCCCGGGCCUUGUACACACCGCCCGUCACACCAUGGGAGUUGAUAGCACCCGAAAGUUGUGAGGUUACCCCAAGGGGCCAGCAACCUAAGGUGAGAUGAAUGACUUCCCAAAGUCGUAACAAGGUAACC
This 1494-nucleotide ribosomal RNA is filed under the name uncultured rumen bacterium. RNAcentral's name for it is "bacterial SSU rRNA". It matches the Rfam family "Bacterial small subunit ribosomal RNA". The record is from RNAcentral.